AUUGAACGCUGGCGGCAGGCCUAACACAUGCAAGUCGAGCGGAUGAAGGGAGCUUGCUCCUGGAUUCAGCGGCGGACGGGUGAGUAAUGCCUAGGAAUCUGCCUGGUAGUGGGGAUAACGUCCGGAAACGGGCGCUAAUACCGCAUACGUCCUGAGGGAGAAAGUGGGGGAUCUUCGGACCUCACGCUAUCAGAUGAGCCUAGGUCGGAUUAGCUAGUUGGUCGGGUAAAGGCCUACCAAGGCGACGAUCCGUAACUGGUCUGAGAGGAUGAUCAGUCACACUGGAACUGAGACACGGUCCAGACUCCUACGGGAGGCAGCAGUGGGGAAUAUUGGACAAUGGGCGAAAGCCUGAUCCAGCCAUGCCGCGUGUGUGAAGAAGGUCUUCGGAUUGUAAAGCACUUUAAGUUGGGAGGAAGGGCAGUAAGUUAAUACCUUGCUGUUUUGACGUUACCAACAGAAUAAGCACCGGCUAACUUCGUG
Molecule: ribosomal RNA, 483 nt
Filed under: uncultured bacterium
Lineage: Bacteria
Description: partial 16S ribosomal RNA
Rfam family: Bacterial small subunit ribosomal RNA
Source: RNAcentral